GGGUUGUGAGGUUAAGCGACUAAGCGUACACGGUGGAUGCCCUGGCAGUCAGAGGCGAUGAAGGACGUGCUAAUCUGCGAAAAGCGUCGGUAAGGUGAUAUGAACCGUUAUAACCGGCGAUGUCCGAAUGGGGAAACCCAGUGCAAUUCGUUGCACUAUCGUUAACUGAAUACAUAGGUUAACGAGGCGAACCGGGGGAACUGAAACAUCUAAGUACCCCGAGGAAAAGAAAUCAACCGAGAUUCCCCCAGUAGCGGCGAGCGAACGGGGAGCAGCCCAGAGUCUGAAUCAGCUUGUGUGUUAGUGGAACGGUCUGGAAAGUCCGACGGUACAGGGUGAUAGUCCCGUACACCAAAAUGCACAGGCUGUGAACUCGAAGAGUAGGGCGGGACACGUGGUAUCCUGUCUGAAUAUGGGGGGACCAUCCUCCAAGGCUAAAUACUCCUGACUGACCGAUAGUGAACCAGUACCGUGAGGGAAAGGCGAAAAGAACCCCGGCGAGGGGAGUGAAAAAGAACCUGAAACCGUGUACGUACAAGCAGUGGGAGCACCUUCGGGUGUGACUGCGUACCUUUUGUAUAAUGGGUCAGCGACUUAUAUUCUGUAGCAAGGUUAACCGUAUAGGGGAGCCGCAGGGAAACCGAGUCUUAACUGGGCGUUAAGUUGCAGGGUAUAGACCCGAAACCCGGUGAUCUAGCCAUGGGCAGGUUGAAGGUUGGGUAACACUAACUGGAGGACCGAACCGACUAAUGUUGAAAAAUUAGCGGAUGACUUGUGGCUGGGGGUGAAAGGCCAAUCAAACCGGGAGAUAGCUGGUUCUCCCCGAAAGCUAUUUAGGUAGCGCCUCGUGAAUUCAUCUUCGGGGGUAGAGCACUGUUUCGGCUAGGGGGUCAUCCCGACUUACCAACCCGAUGCAAACUACGAAUACCGAAGAAUGUUAUCACGGGAGACACACGGCGGGUGCUAACGUCCGUCGUGAAGAGGGAAACAACCCAGACCGCCAGCUAAGGUCCCAAAGUCAUGGUUAAGUGGGAAACGAUGUGGGAAGGCACAGACAGCCAGGAUGUUGGCUUAGAAGCAGCCAUCAUUUAAAGAAAGCGUAAUAGCUCACUGGUCGAGUCGGCCUGCGCGGAAGAUGUAACGGGGCUAAACCAUGCACCGAAGCUGCGGCAGCGACACUAUGUGUUGUUGGGUAGGGGAGCGUUCUGUAAGCCUGCGAAGGUGGCCUGUGAGGGUUGCUGGAGGUAUCAGAAGUGCGAAUGCUGACAUAAGUAACGAUAAAGCGGGUGAAAAGCCCGCUCGCCGGAAGACCAAGGGUUCCUGUCCAACGUUAAUCGGGGCAGGGUGAGUCGACCCCUAAGGCGAGGCCGAAAGGCGUAGUCGAUGGGAAACAGGUUAAUAUUCCUGUACUUGGUGUUACUGCGAAGGGGGGACGGAGAAGGCUAUGUUAGCCGGGCGACGGUUGUCCCGGUUUAAGCAUGUAGGCUGGUUAUCCAGGCAAAUCCGGAUAAUCAAGGCUGAGGUGUGAUGACGAGGCACUACGGUGCUGAAGUAACAAAUGCCCUGCUUCCAGGAAAAGCCUCUAAGCAUCAGGUAACAUCAAAUCGUACCCCAAACCGACACAGGUGGUCAGGUAGAGAAUACCAAGGCGCUUGAGAGAACUCGGGUGAAGGAACUAGGCAAAAUGGUGCCGUAACUUCGGGAGAAGGCACGCUGGUGUGUAGGUGAAGCCCCUGCGGGUGGAGCUGAGACCAGUCGAAGAUACCAGCUGGCUGCAACUGUUUAUUAAAAACACAGCACUGUGCAAACACGAAAGUGGACGUAUACGGUGUGACGCCUGCCCGGUGCCGGAAGGUUAAUUGAUGGGGUUAUCCGUAAGGAGAAGCUCUUGAUCGAAGCCCCGGUAAACGGCGGCCGUAACUAUAACGGUCCUAAGGUAGCGAAAUUCCUUGUCGGGUAAGUUCCGACCUGCACGAAUGGCGUAAUGAUGGCCAGGCUGUCUCCACCCGAGACUCAGUGAAAUUGAACUCGCUGUGAAGAUGCAGUGUACCCGCGGCAAGACGGAAAGACCCCGUGAACCUUUACUAUAGCUUGACACUGAACAUUGAGCCUUGAUGUGUAGGAUAGGUGGGAGGCUUUGAAGCGUGGACGCCAGUCUGCGUGGAGCCAACCUUGAAAUACCACCCUUUAAUGUUUGAUGUUCUAACGUUGGCCCCUGACCGGGGUUGCGGACAGUGUCUGGUGGGUAGUUUGACUGGGGCGGUCUCCUCCCAAAGCGUAACGGAGGAGCACGAAGGUUAGCUAAUCCUGGUCGGACAUCAGGAGGUUAGUGCAAUGGCAUAAGCUAGCUUGACUGCGAGCGUGACGGCGCGAGCAGGUGCGAAAGCAGGUCAUAGUGAUCCGGUGGUUCUGAAUGGAAGGGCCAUCGCUCAACGGAUAAAAGGUACUCCGGGGAUAACAGGCUGAUACCGCCCAAGAGUUCAUAUCGACGGCGGUGUUUGGCACCUCGAUGUCGGCUCAUCACAUCCUGGGGCUGAAGUAGGUCCCAAGGGUAUGGCUGUUCGCCAUUUAAAGUGGUACGCGAGCUGGGUUUAGAACGUCGUGAGACAGUUCGGUCCCUAUCUGCCGUGGGCGCUGGAGAAUUGAGGGGGGCUGCUCCUAGUACGAGAGGACCGGAGUGGACGCAUCACUGGUGUUCGGGUUGUCAUGCCAAUGGCACUGCCCGGUAGCUAAAUGCGGAAGAGAUAAGUGCUGAAAGCAUCUAAGCACGAAACUUGCCCCGAGAUGAGUUCUCCCUGAGACUUUAAGUUUCCUGAAGGAACGUUAAAGACGAUGACGUUGAUAGGCCGGGUGUGUAAGCGCAGCGAUGCGUUGAGCUAACCGGUACUAAUGAACCGUGAGGCUUAACCUUACAACGCCGAAG
This 2923-nucleotide ribosomal RNA is filed under the name Klebsiella pneumoniae. RNAcentral describes it as "bacterial LSU rRNA". It matches the Rfam family "Bacterial large subunit ribosomal RNA". The record is from RNAcentral. Lineage: Bacteria; Pseudomonadati; Pseudomonadota; Gammaproteobacteria; Enterobacterales; Enterobacteriaceae.